Molecule: ribosomal RNA, 495 nt
Filed under: uncultured bacterium
Lineage: Bacteria
Description: partial 16S ribosomal RNA
Rfam family: Bacterial small subunit ribosomal RNA
Source: RNAcentral
GAUGAACGCUGGCGGCGUGCCUAAUACAUGCAAGUCGAGCGAACAGACGAGGAGCUUGCUCCUUCGACGUUAGCGGCGGACGGGUGAGUAACACGUAGGUAACCUACCUAUAAGACUGGGAUAACUUCGGGAAACCGGAGCUAAUACCGGAUAAUAUUUCGAACCGCAUGGUUCGAUAGUGAAAGAUGGCUUUGCUAUCACUUAUAGAUGGACCUGCGCCGUAUUAGCUAGUUGGUAAGGUAACGGCUUACCAAGGCAACGAUACGUAGCCGACCUGAGAGGGGGACCGGCCACAGUGACACGGAGACCCGGCCCAGACCCCUGGGGGGGGCAGAAGUGGGGAAUUUUCCGAAAGGGGCAAAGGCCUGAGGGGGCAACGCCGGGUGAGUGAAAAAGGUUGUGGGAGCGAAAAACUCUUUUAUUGGGGAAAAAAAAACGUGUAAGUAACUUGGCCCGUCUGGGGGGUACCAAAUCAAAAACCCAGGGCAAACCCCG